RNAcentral lists this ribosomal RNA (445 nucleotides) under uncultured bacterium. RNAcentral's name for it is "partial 16S ribosomal RNA". It matches the Rfam family "Bacterial small subunit ribosomal RNA", at positions 354 to 796 of the family's 1533-position model. The record is from RNAcentral.
GUGAGGAAUAUUGGACAAUGGGCGCAAGCCUGAUCCAGCCAUGCCGCGUGCAGGAAGACGCAUCUAUGGUGUGUAAACUGCUUUUGUACGGGAAGAAACACUCCCUCGUGAGGGAGCUUGACGGUACCGUAAGAAUAAGGAUCGGCUAACUCCGUGCCAGCAGCCGCGGUAAUACGGAGGAUCCAAGCGUUAUCCGGAAUCAUUGGGUGUAAAGGGUCCGUAGGCGGUUUAAUAAGUCAGUGGUGAAAGCCCAUCGCUCAACGAUGGAACGGCCAUUGAUACUGUUAGACUUGAAUUAAAAGGAAGUAACUAGAAUAUGUAGUGUAGCGGUGAAAUGCUUAGAUAUUACAUGGAAUACCAAUUGCGAAGGCAGGUUACUACUUGUGGAUUGACGCUGAUGGACGAAAGCGUGGGGAGCGAACAGGAUUAGAAACCCGGGUAGUCC